GAGGGUAUAGCUUAGUGGUAGAGUGCGUGCCUAGCAGGCAGAAGGUCCUGCGUUCAAUCCCCAGUACCUCUA
This 72-nucleotide transfer RNA is filed under the name Camelus bactrianus (Bactrian camel). It matches the Rfam family "tRNA". From Rfam's summary of the family: Transfer RNA (tRNA) molecules are approximately 80 nucleotides in length. The record is from Rfam by way of RNAcentral. RNAcentral also lists the same sequence under 1 other name. Lineage: Eukaryota; Metazoa; Chordata; Mammalia; Artiodactyla; Camelidae.